Long non-coding RNA from Myotis daubentonii (Daubenton's bat), 586 nucleotides. RefSeq lists it as uncharacterized. The transcript is spliced from 2 exons. The record is from RefSeq and is a predicted model, not a curated record. NCBI's taxonomy places the organism in Eukaryota, Metazoa, Chordata, Mammalia, Chiroptera, Vespertilionidae.
ACUGCGCUGCCGCUGACGGCGCGUGACCUCACGUAGGCACCCGUAGUUCUGAGGGUGGCCUGCCGGGAAAUGUAGUCCGGGCCGGGAGCCCGCGCGGGUCAAAAAGCAUUUCAAACUAAUCAGUUCGCGCACUCUCACCCGGGCUGAAAUGCAAGCGGCUGCUGUACAUUGUAGGUGCGUCCCCGUCGCGAGAGCAUCCAGCGGGACGCUCUCGAAAAGGAAACAUCCAAGGAACACCGACAUGUGAAGGUUUAAUAUCCAAGCUGUUCCCAGAAAGAAGACUCGACAGCUCGGUGUCCUUAUUUGAAAAGUAGGAAUAGCGAAGGCCUGUCUGCCAACAGCUCACAAAAUACAGAACACAUAAGUGUAUAGUGUAUCUUCUCUCAAAAACAUCCAACAUGGCCACUUCUUCCUCCAGCAUCGGAGUGGAUUACUGGUCUUCUGGGUGAGCACUAGAUGAAGUAGUUGGCUUGUGUUUACAUGCUAUAUUGUACGAAAAAAGAGAAAGAGGUUUUCUAAGCAUAAAAGUAUAGUUGAAAGUGUUCAAGUUAAAUGAGUGUAUCAUGAGAUUCAACUAUUGAAUUUU